AGAACAGAAGCAUUUUGUAUAAGAACAUAGAGAGGAGAGAUGGAAGGAGGAGUUAAGACCUGGUGGCUUAAAAUGUUCAUCUCCAUACCCAUGGUGUUAGAUACAGAGCUCUCUUUUGCCUCAGAAAUACAACUGGGAAAUGCUUAAAGCAAAAGUUUCUGAGAGGUUUGAAUACUCUCUUCUUCUUAAUUUCAGAAGAACCAGGGAACACAGAGGCAUAGUAGCUGCUUAUUUUGUACUUGCUACAUCUAUAAGAGUGCAAAGACGCCUAAAAAUUGCUUUCUACAUCAUAGGUAAAUAUUUUCUCUCUUAAUUUAUCUAAUGCAUGCUUAGUUUAAGAGAUUUUUGGAAUGCAGAGGCUGUAAUCUUGUGGAUAGUAUUUAGCUGGUCUCUUACUUUCUCAAAAAAAAAAAAAAAAAGUUUAGUUUUAUUUGGGUAUUCAUUCCUUCCCAGAUCAUAUGAGCUGGUACCUUCUUGUAAGUCACAGCAAAUAAGACACAUCCCAGAAGAGAUUUUACAAAUACAGUCUACCUGCUUGGUGUUAAUGAGUGACUGCAGAUCCCUGGAGGUCAAUAGAGGCAUGAUGCUUAAGACAUUCCUGACAUCUCAUCCACUGUGAAUUCAGCUGUUUAUCUUGGUACAAUAGCAGGGCUCCAUAUAUUCAGGUUACCACUACAUGCUAGAUCAGCUGUCCUUAACAUACCAUCUGAAAUGAGAUUCUCUCAUGAAAAAGUGCUCAAUAGCAAAGCAGAUUCAAGAUGUUCUCAGUUCUAUUCUGCUCCAAUACUGGCAUCCAUUUAAGCCUGGAUAAUACAUCUGCAUAUUCUUCCCUUCCGGUAAAAGAUGAGAAGUUUUUCUUGUGGCAGAAAAAGUGUUAUCAUAAUGCAAACAAAAUUUGACACAAUGUCAGAGGAUCAGUUGUAUUUUUUCAUAAAUAACUAUUCCAAACACUUCCAACUGCGCUUUAUUUUUUAUUCAAACCAAAGGAGUUCAUCACAACUUGAUGAGGCAAGUCCACAUCUAUAAAACUAUAAGUCAGGAAAGCAUGUUCAAGUGGGUUUUUUAAAAUCUAUUUCUGAAUUGGUAAAAAAGUGUUAAAUGCACCUCUGAUAAGACCUUGAGUCAGCCAGAGCUUCUAGGUAAGUCUGACAUUGCUUAAAGCAAGUAUAACAGAAGCCACAUAAAAAGCUUACACACUCUAAGGAUAAGCUUUAAUAAAAGACAGAAUCAUAACUGAAGCUUUUAAGUGGAACAGACCUGUUAUGGUGGGUGAUAAAAAUGUAUGUAAAAAGCAACCUCCCAGACCUUUCUGUUCUUAAAGGACUGGCUCUUGGUUUAGAACUUAGGCCCUAUGACAGAUGACUUUCCCACUAACACCUUUGAGUCCUGCCUACGUGUCUACUUGCUUGUCACCAGAGGGAUCAUAGGAGUUUUUAUCACUUGUUUGGGUUUCUUACUUUCUUAGUGUCCCCCAUGCUGCUUACCCAUCAGGAGCUGCACACAACAGACACUAUGAAUCAUGUUUUGGCACUAUAUAUACAAAUAUUUAUUGAAAUUGAUUUAUUUUUUAGAAUUGAUUAUUUUAAAAAUUAAACAAAAUGUUUUCUAUACUGCAAAAGGAGAAAAAUAAGUGAUGGUUAAAGUAACCAUGGAUGUCCCACUUCAUCAGCCUCACAGAUCUUCUAUGACAGAAUAAUCUGAGUAUGUAGUUAAGCUUGAUUUGUUAACUUCCUAUUUACAGUAUUGCUCUUUACCCAUGAUACUGUUAGAUCUAUUUCCUACAUAAAAUGACCUGGUCCAUUGUAUUGGCAAACAUAUACAUUUCCACAUCUUCUGCUCAGGUACUAGGUAGUAAUAUAGUAAAUACUGAUACCUAAGUUCACCAGUUGUCUGAGCCAUUAUAAAUGCAUGAAAUAUCCUUUAGUCAUCGGCAAGCAUCACCUCUACAAUUCUGUUGAUAUUUUCAUUGAAAAACAAAACACACAAAAAAAACCCCAACCACAAAAUAAGUCAACAUUAAAGUUUGUUGUAAGACUUUUUUAUAAGUACAUCAAAAUUAAAUAACUUCAUAUGUAAGACAGAUGCAGGCAUUACCAUUAGAAGACCUGUAAUAGUGGCUGCUUGUGGUAUUUGCCAAGAAAUUAUAGUUCUUUCUUAUAAAAAGUACAAGAGCAAUGACCUGGAUGAUUGUAGUCUAUGUUCUAGAUAUUCCCAAACUGGCCAGUUAUGGAAAUAAUAAUUUCAGACUGAAAAUCAUGUCUAAAUAAAUAAUUAGAGCUGGGGAAAUAUAUCUAAUUAAUCGGAAGGAUGAUCUUCUUAUGACCAUAUGAUGCAGAAUGAAUCUUCCAUCUCUCUGCUUUUCCAGAAAUGUUUAAUUCUCAAAAUUUCAAGGAAAAUUCUUGAAUAUUUUGCAACUUAAUUUUUGUUUAUAUAACUCAAAAGCUAUUAGAAAUUAAGUUUAGGUGAAAAAUACAGAAUGAAGAUGCACAAUUUUUUUUGUGUCUCAGGCAUACCUCCUAAAUAUACAGGAUGUCUGUAUUGCUUAUCUGCCUUGUUAACUGUUAAAAAGGAGCAUAAAUUGUAAAGAAAUACCAUAUAUUACAUUUGCACCUAGAAGGUGAGUCAAAGUGCAUCUGAUUUGAUGUCACAUGAUUUCUUUCUAUGCUCUGCUGGAUCAGAUUUACAGAUGGCAAAAGAUAUCUGUCUUCUCGCGUGUGGUAAUCAAUCCCUUCUUUACAUAAAAUAAAUAAAAUAAUUUGGAGGAAAAAGCCUUUUUUUUUUUCACAAACUGUUCACAGAGAUAUUAAGUGGCUGGUAAAUAUGUUAUUACUAAUAAUUCAUACUGUUUAUUAGAUAUGGCAAAACAUUAUAACAGUUACAUCAUAUGAUUUUUUUCCAUUUUAUCACUUAGAUAUAGUCAAAUUACAAUGGUCAUGUGAUUAUAACAGAAACAGAUGAAAAGGAUAAGUGAUAAUAGUAGGGCAUACAUAUAAACAAAAAACCAAAAAAAAAAAAAAGAAAAAAUCAGUUAGAUUUAAAUUCAUUGACACAUUUUUAUUAAGUCAGGGCUAAAGCAAAAGUAUUUACAGUGUAAAUCUAAACUUAUCUUCUGAGUUAUUGGGAAAUUUAUGUACAUAUUCGAGCAAGUUGGUACAGUUCCAUUUAUUUUGUCCUGUUGUGUUUAUAAAUUCCACUGAAGCUUUUCCUGUAAAUUCCAUCUCAUUAUUUUAUGUCUCAUCAUGGAUAAUGUUGAGGUACAUUAUCUGAAAGGUGCUUUAUGGAAAUAAAUUGGUUUGACUUUGUCAUGUAAGAGUAGCAGAACACUUACUUUUCAACUGACUUGGGUUUUUCCCAUUUUGUGUUACCACAGUGGGUUUUCAAUGUUCUGAUGUUCCUAUGAAUAUGUUGCAAAGAAAAAAAAAAAGGAAACCUCAAAUUGUAAAUGAAAUUUAUUUUGCUUCCAUUUUUUCUUUAUUUCUACCUACUAUUUCCCAGAUGGUGCUUAUGCAUGAAGUGCGUAUUUAAGGUACACCUGUUGCAAAGGAAUUAAUAGCUAAUAUUAGAGAGACCUCUUGAGAUGGAUGGAUUGUUAAUCAAAUUUGUAUACAGUGCAUGAGUUCUUUAUAAUUUUUCAAAUAUAAAAGCUGUAUAUCAACAAUAUUUCAAACUUACUGGCUUUGUCUGUCAAGAUUCUCUUGUGGUUUUGUGGCUUUGAAUAUUUUUUUGGAGGAAAAGGAAUUGCUUUGUUUUGCAAAAGAAUCUGGAGCUAAUAGUUUUUCAGCUAUGCAUUGUACUUUGGUACCUUCCAGCUAAUCAUUAAUCCUUAAGCAGUGACCUUCAUUAAGCAGUGAUAUUCAUUGCUAAAAAAGUCACAAAGAAUGUUAAUGAAAUCUAAAAAAUAUCUAGGUUAUCCAUAGAAAUAACAGCUCCUGGAAUAAAUAGAAAAUAGUCUACAGUAAUUCAUAUUUAAGAAUAAAAAAGCAUGAAGGAGUCUGCCUUCAUGAUUCCUGACAGGCAAUGUCAUCCAAAGCCUGUGAGAAAAUAUUUAUUUCUGUACUACCCCCUGAUUUAAAUAUUAUGAGGGUGGGAAACCACUUAUAAGCAGUAUCUGGGUGUGAAAAACUUAUUAGGGAAAGGUGCAGAUGUGCAAAGGUGAGACAGUCAAAUUUGUCAAAUUGAUGUCAGAAGUAAAGGAUUGGGCUAGUUCCUUCAGAUAUUUAAGUGUGUCACCGACACCACAGCAUUGAAAAAUCUCCUGAGGUCAGUGUUUGCUCCGUGCUGUAUGACAUCUGCCCCUAAAUUUUCAAGGCAGUACACAGAAAUGUAACUUUCUAGCUCUCAUUACAGUCAAAAGAAAUUGCUUCAGAUCUGGAACCUAGUAUUUCACAAAAAAAAAAAAAAAAAACCUAGACACUCUUAUACGUUUUGCAAGUACUGUACAGCAGAAUUAAGAACAGAUUGUUAUUAACCCAAUAAUUUUGUGUGACACAUAUUGUGUAUUUUCAUCAAUUGCACAACACAAUUGAGAGAAUAGAUUUUUUGCCCGUUUCAGUUACAUGUCCAGGCUGUGGCUCACAGGGAGAAAUGCUUGCCUUGGAUAACAAUGAAUGUUUCCAUUGAGAAGAACCUUCCAGAAUAGCAGGAUCAUGUACACGUUACUUUGUGUACAACAGAAUAGUCACUGCUUAUAGCUUUUCUGUUUGGUCAGAAGGUAUCCAUUGAUUUCUGAUUUUAGCGCCAAACAAAGCAAUUCUCUGCAGCCUAUUUUAGUGUCAACAUUAUUGGCUGCUGCAAAUUGAGGACAGGAAAGAAUGUAUAUACCUGCAUAUACUUCUUACACCUCUGACUUAAUGACACGUGAAGAUAGAAACAGACAGGAAGGAAAAUUUUGCAAGUAACUACAAACGCACUCUGGAAGAAUGGGAACAUGCUGGAAUUGACAUGUACAUGCCAACUUUUUUUCUGGCUGGAUAAUUGAAACUAGUCCUGAGAUAGGUUUGGAAGUGUUUAAUUGCCUAAGCAUGAGACAAUACUAGAUACAUUUACUUAAUGCUAGACACAUCUGAGCUCUCCAGGAGAUGAGUCUCACUGCUCCAGGAGCCAUCACUCCUUGUUGGGAAAAGAACCAUAUCUAGGUCAUGACUUGGGACAGCUCAAUAUGCAGGUGCUGCUAUUUAUUUCCAUUAUGAUACAUUCAGUUACCUCACUACUGAAAACUUACUUGCUUCAGCAAGGUGGAAUUAAUCAGGGCACAUCUUUAGACAUCUGAAAAUAAUUGAAAAGCCGGUCUUUCUAACUUGGGCUACAGUCACCUUCCGUAAGUCAUUGGUACGUACCUAUUCCUGCAAUAAAAUUAAUGGGCUUUGAAUGCCACAGAUGGUCAUUGCUAUCAAACUCUACAUUUAAAAAUGACUGGAAGUAUAAAGCAAAAGCAAGGCUUAGCCACUCUUAAUAUAAUCAUCUUUAGGAAGCCUUCAGCAGCAUACAAAGUGGUUUUUGAUAAAUGGCAAUGUAAUGUCCUAUAUUUUCCCUUGUUCUUUUUCUGUCCAGCCUCUUUUCUUCAGGGUGACUUGGUUCGGCUGUAAAGAUUUUUCCAAGUAACACCACCACAUUUGUAUUUACCUUUGAAAAAAGAAGAUAAGAGCGAUGAAUGGAAGGGGAUGAUGAAAUUUCAAUUAAUUCCAAAAGUUCAUACUUCUGAAUGUAAAUGAAUAGCAUAGUAAAGAUUGAGUUGCAUUUCUGUCAUUUUUCAUUAUGUUGUUCUGGUCUGAGGUAACAUGAUGUGAUCAAAAUAAACAUGAAUUAAUUAGA
This is a non-coding RNA of Taeniopygia guttata (zebra finch), 5811 nucleotides long. The record is from RefSeq and is a predicted model, not a curated record. NCBI's taxonomy places the organism in Eukaryota, Metazoa, Chordata, Aves, Passeriformes, Estrildidae.